RNAcentral lists this ribosomal RNA (478 nucleotides) under uncultured bacterium. RNAcentral describes it as "partial 16S ribosomal RNA". It matches the Rfam family "Bacterial small subunit ribosomal RNA", at positions 28 to 523 of the family's 1533-position model. The record is from RNAcentral.
GACGAACGCUGGCGGCGUGCUUAACACAUGCAAGUCGAACGGUAAGGCCCUUCGGGGUACACGAGUGGCGAACGGGUGAGUAACACGUGGGUGAUCUGCCCCGCACUUCGGGAUAAGCCUGGGAAACUGGGUCUAAUACCGGAUAGGACCCUGGGAUGCAUGUCCUGGGGUGGAAAGCUUUUGCGGUGUGGGAUGGGCCCGCGGCCUAUCAGCUUGUUGGUGGGGUGAUGGCCUACCAAGGCGACGACGGGUAGCCGGCCUGAGAGGGUGACCGGCCAAGCUGGGACUGAGAUACGGCCCAGACUCCUACGGGGGGCAGCAGUGGGGAAUAUUGCACAAUGGGCGCAAGCCUGAUGCAGCGACGCCGCGUGAGGGAUGACGGCCUUCGGGUUGUAAACCUCUUUCAGCACCGACGAAGCGCAAGUGACGGUAGGUGCAGAAGAAGGACCGGCCAACUACGUGCCAGCAGCCGCCGUAA